UACAGAGGUCUCAAGCGUUGUUCGGAUUCAUUGGGCGUAAAGGGUGUGUAGGUGGCGCCUUAAGUCGGGUGUGAAAUUUCGGAGCUUAACUCCGAAACUGCAUUCGAUACUGCGGUGCUUGAGGACUGGAGAGGAGACUGGAAUUCAUGGUGUAGCAGUGAAAUGCGUAGAGAUCAUGAGGAAGACCAGUGGCGAAGGCGGGUCUCUGGACAGUUACUGACACUGAGACGCGAAGGCGUGGGGAGCAAACGGG
Molecule: ribosomal RNA, 253 nt
Filed under: uncultured bacterium
Lineage: Bacteria
Description: partial 16S ribosomal RNA
Rfam family: Bacterial small subunit ribosomal RNA
Source: RNAcentral